RNAcentral lists this ribosomal RNA (974 nucleotides) under Candidatus Amesbacteria bacterium RBG_19FT_COMBO_48_16. Its description in RNAcentral is "bacterial SSU rRNA". The stretch from base 156 to 974 matches the Rfam family "Bacterial small subunit ribosomal RNA". Lineage: Bacteria; Candidatus Amesiibacteriota. The record is from RNAcentral.
AACUGUCCGAAAGAAUAAAAAUGGUUGGAUUGUCUAUAUUCCAAAAAAUAAUUUAAUUAUUUUUAAGAGUAUGGUAGAAAAAUAUAUUCUACCCAACUUUAAAUAUAAACUUAUUCCUUAUUCAAUAAAAUCUCUUACCCCGUAGAGACUAUACGCCAGACUCCAAUUUGAUUGGAGUAUGAGAUAGUCCGAACUACAUGGUAACAUGUAGAUCUUAAUAGAAAUAUUAAGACGCCUCAUUACGAGGUUGAUAAGUAACAGAUUGUAGAGACCCCUGUAGUCCUAGCCGUAAACUAUGCUCGCUAGGGAUUUCUGAUUUAUUUUGGAAGUCCCGUAAGCUAACGCGUUAAGCGAGCCGCCUGGGGAGUACGAGCGCAAGCUUAAAACUCAAAGGAAUUGACGGGGACCCGCACAACCAGUGGAGCAUGUGGUUUAAUUCGAGACGAACCGAAGAACCUUACCUGGACUUGACAUCUAUUACUUAAUGCCUCCUAGAAAUAGUAGGAACCCGAAAUUUUUCGGGGGUUUUGGACAGGUGUUGCAUGGCUGUCGUCAGCUCGUGCCGUGGGGUGUUCCCUUCAGUGGGGUAACGAGCGCAACCCCUGCCGUAUGUUGAAUAUUCAUACGGGACUAUCCGAUUUUAUAUCGGAUGGAAGUGGGGACGACGUCAAGUCAGCAUGGCCCUUAUGUCCAGGGCAACACACAUGCUACAAUGGAGCCGACAAAGGGUUGCCAACGAGUAAUCGGGAGCUAAUCCCAUCAAACGGCUUCUAAGUGGGGAUUGAGGGCUGCAACUCGCCCUCAUGAACGCGGAAUUGGUAGUAAUCGCGGAUCAGCUAAGCCGCGGUGAAUACGUUCUCAGGUCUUGUACACACCGCCCGUCAAGUUAGUGAAGUUGGGGGCAGCCGAACCUCGAAUGUUUCGGGGGAAGCUGAAACCAGCGACAAGAAUUAAGUCGUAACAAGGUAUCCGUA